RNAcentral lists this ribosomal RNA (401 nucleotides) under uncultured bacterium. RNAcentral describes it as "bacterial SSU rRNA". It matches the Rfam family "Bacterial small subunit ribosomal RNA", at positions 355 to 773 of the family's 1533-position model. The record is from RNAcentral.
UAACGAAUCUUCCGCAAUGCACGAAAGUGUGACGGAGCGACGCCGCGUGUAGGAUGAAGCCCUUCGGGGUGUAAACUACUGUCAGGGGUUAGAAAGUUCUGAUCAACCCCAGAGGAAGGCACGGCUAACUCUGUGCCAGCAGCCGCGGUAAGACAGAGGUGCCAAGCGUUAGGCGGAAUCACUGGGCUUAAAGCGUGUGUAGGCGGAUGUCUAAGUACCUUGUGAAAUCCCACGGCUCAACCGUGGAACUGCUUGGUAUACUGGAUGUCUUGAGCCAGCUAGGGGCUACCGGAACAAAUGGUGGAGCGGUGAAAUGCGUAGAUAUCAUUUGGAACGCCAAUGGUGAAAACAGGUAGCUGGGGCUGUGCUGACGCUGAGACACGAAAGCCAGGGGAGCAAAC